Small nucleolar RNA from Grammomys surdaster, 195 nucleotides. RefSeq annotates it as small nucleolar RNA SNORA73 family. The transcript has a single exon. NCBI's taxonomy places the organism in Eukaryota, Metazoa, Chordata, Mammalia, Rodentia, Muridae. The record is from RefSeq and is a predicted model, not a curated record.
ACAACAUGGACAUUCCAUCACUCUCUUUGGGUUCUGUCCUAGUGGCACAUGGGAGCAUAGGACACCACCAGGUGAUGUAAAGUCCCUUUCCACAAUGUAAGAGAUUAAGUUGGGCUUCUCUGAUCCUGAAUAUUCCUACAAAUUCUUAGAGUGCCUAGGAGGAUGACUGAAGAGGAAACCAUGCUGAAAACAAAA